RNAcentral lists this ribosomal RNA (1458 nucleotides) under metagenome. RNAcentral's name for it is "bacterial SSU rRNA". It matches the Rfam family "Bacterial small subunit ribosomal RNA". The record is from RNAcentral.
AGAGUUUGAUCCUGGCUCAGGAUGAACGCUGGCGGCGUGCUUAAUACAUGCAAGUCGAACGGAGGUUGCAGCGAUGUAGCCUUAGUGGCGAACGGGUGAGUAACGCGUUGGUGACCUGCCCCAAAGCGAGGGAUAACAGAUCGAAAGGUCUGCUAAUACCGCAUGAGGUCUUGAAGGUUAGAGGCUUGAAGACGAAAGCAGCGAUGCGUUUUGGGAGGGGCCUGCGUCCCAUCAGCUAGUUGGUAAGGUAAAGGCUUACCAAGGCGACGACGGGUAGGGGACCUGAGAGGGUGACCCCCCACACUGGCACUGAAACACGGGCCAGACACCUACGGGUGGCAGCAGUAGGGAAUAUUGCACAAUGGGCGAAAGCCUGAUGCAGCAACGCCGCGUGCGCGAUGAAGGCCUUCGGGUCGUAAAGCGCUUUUCGGGGAGAAGAGGAAGGACGGUAUCCCCGGAAUAAGGAUCGGCUAACUACGUGCCAGCAGCCGCGGUAAAACGUAGGAUCCGAGCGUUAUCCGAAUUCACUGGGCGUAAAGCGCGUGCAGGCGGUACGGUAAGUUGGAUGUGAAAUCUCCUGGCUCAACUGGGAGAGGACGUUCAAUACUGUCGAACUAGAGGGCGGAAGAGGGAGGUGGAAUUCCCGGUGUAGUGGUGAAAUGCGUAGAUAUCGGGAGGAACACCAGAGGCGAAAGCGGCCUCCUAGGCCGUACCUGACGCUCAGACGCGAAAGCUAGGGGAGCAAACGGGAUUAGAAACCCCGGUAGUCCUAGCCGUAAACGAUGUAGACUUGGUGUUGGAGGUGUAAAAACCGCCGGUGCCGAAGCAAACGCGAUAAGUCUACCGCCUGGGGACUACGGCCGCAAGGUUAAAACUCAAAGGAAUUGACGGGGGCCCGCACAAGCAGCGGAGCGUGUGGUUUAAUUCGAUUUACGCGAAGAACCUUACCCGGGUUUGACAUGCAGGAGGUAGGGAACCGAAAGGGGACCGACCCGCAAGGGAGCCUGCACAGGUGCUGCAUGGCUGUCGUCAGCUCGUGUCGUGAGAUGUCCGGUUAAGUCCGGUAACGAGCGCAACCCACGUCGUAUGCUACAAGUGUCAUACGAUACUGCUGGUAUAAAGCCGGAGGAAGGUGUGGAUGACGUCAAGUCAGCAUGGCCUUUAUGUCCGGGGCUACACACACGCUACAAUGGCCAGUACAAUGGGUAGCAAAGCCGCGAGGUGGAGCCAAUCCGCAAAGCUGGUCACAGUUCAGAUUGUAGGCUGCAACUCGCCUACAUGAAGUCGGAGUUGCUAGUAACCGCGCGUCAGCAUUAGUGCGGUGAAUACGUUCCCGGGCCUUGUACACACCGCCCGUCACGUCAUGGGAGCUGGCAACACCUGAAGCCGGUAGCCUAACCGCGAGGAAGGCGCCGUCGAAGGUGGGGUUGGUGACUGGGACGAAGUCGUAACAAGGUA